This 1787-nucleotide long non-coding RNA is filed under the name Salmo salar (Atlantic salmon). RNAcentral's name for it is "lncRNA (ENSSSAG00000120243.1)". Lineage: Eukaryota; Metazoa; Chordata; Actinopteri; Salmoniformes; Salmonidae. The record is from RNAcentral.
GAAGGUGGCGCCCCUCCUCGCCCGGGCGGUGCUCGGCGGUCGUUGUCGCCGGUCUACUAGCUGCCAUCGAUUUAUGUUUCACGUUCUGUUAGUUAGGCCUAGGUUAGUUGCGCACCUGUUUUGUGUUAGUGGUUAGUGGGGAAGGAUAUUUAGGCUAGCUAGUUAGGUUUGUUGUUUGUGCGGGAUUGUUCGUUUGUUCAGGGUGUGUUUUGUUACGAGGUUCUGUGGUUUGCCUUUUGGAGUUACGUUAUUCGUUUUAGGCUGCGUCCCUGGUUACGUUCUUUUAGGGUGGUGCGUUUCUUUCUGCACACCUUGCACUCCAUACCUUUUUGCAUAUUUUCCGUGUGGAUAUUUUAUUAAAUUCAUUCACGGAAUCAUUCUGUCUCCUGCGCCGUUGUGACAAGUAUGGAGAUUGUUGUGGUUUUGGCAGGCUUUCCCUCCUUCUCUGAGCACUUCCUUUAUUUUAAAUUUUAAAUGUUUGGUCAUUUUGCAGAAGCUCUUAUCCAGAACAACUUACAUGCAUUUUCUUACUGCAAAUCAAACCCAUAACCCUGGUGUUGCAAGUGCCAUGCUCUACCAACUGAACCAACCGUCCUGUCGGUCUGUAGAGAUAGACAUUUCAAAUAAAGACAGACAGGAACCUUGGGCAAUGUGUGCAAGACUUGUUGAAGGGACUAGAGAGAUUGAACAACCGUGAAAAGAACCAGACUCAUGAGGGGAUGCCCAUUCUAUGGCUGGCAUAUGGCAUGAUUGCAUCACAGUCUAUUUGGGUUGUUGGGAAUUUUUUUUAAGCAUAAAGCUCAGUUGCUCACAUCGGGUGGCGGGUAUAUUACUUUUCAUGUAAUAGUGCAAUGGAAAUCUACCUGAUUACUUUACGAAAGGACUCAGUCAUGCCAUGAGUUUUGUGCCAGUGACAAAUCUAGGGUAAAUGACUUCCUGGGUGGAUUCUAGUCAGCACAACGGAUAUUGGGGAAAUUAAAGUUUCAUUUAAUGACAACAUCUUAGUCCUAGAUACACAAACGAUUACAUUACCCAAAAGUCUUAGCUGGACCAAUGAACAACAUUGACAAAACGUUAGCCGCCACGUCCCCCAAGUCCUCUCUUUACUAUAACACAUCUAUACAGAUGUCAUCUCUUCCUCUGCUUAUGGAAGUCAUCACUGAAUGGUUUGUUCGACGGAUUAAUAGAUGAGGAACUAAGUCGGGCUUCAACCUACUCUUAAAUGUUGUAAUGGAAGAAUGCAAUUUUGUAAUUGGGUAGUGCAUCAUCAGUUCAUCUUGUCACUGCAGACCUCGAAUUGCAGGAAAUCAGCUUUAAACCUGCAAAAUGUUCUCUCCGCCAACAAGAGGGAUGUGAACAGUUUUUGUCAUCAACCAUAGAAAUAGACGUGGCACUCGGGCACCCCUUCCAUCCCCAAUGAAAAGGAAACCUCGUUCAACGAACAGCGGAGGGUUGCGGAAAAGUUGUACCGAGGACAGCUAAUGCCAAAGGUCUCCAGCUGGAGACACAUGUUCGUUCCCUGCCCACCACACUACCGGUCAGACUAUCCUCCAUGAGUUGCAUGUUCUUGGAGAUGAGAAUGGGAAACCCCAGUUUUAGAUAUGAGUUGAAGUCAGUCUAGUGAUGUGUAGCUAAUUGUCAUUGUUAGUGUUAUUAAUGCAUUAUAACAGCUUGACUAACACAAUGUGUUUUCAUUGAAAAGGAUUGUAAAUAAACUGUCUGUCAGUGUUUUGUUGAGAUUCAUUUUGGAUUACCUCUGCGCAGAAAGUAAGGCGGGGUUGCAAAGC